UUAGCUUAGAGUGUUUUACACUGGGGAGUUCCAAUGUGUUUAAAUUGUAAAACUUUUUCCGAGCAUUUUUGUAGCAGAACUCCAUGUUCUAAUAGCCCCGGCAAAGUUGUUUUUAAUACUUUUUCUCUACGAAUUUUCAUUAAAAUUUAAUUCCAUUUUAACUUUGUCAAUUUUCCCCAAAGAUAAAUUAAGACACACAGAGAGAUUGUCAUUUCCUGUUUGAAGUCUCAUUCCUGUGUACAAUGUCAGUCUUUUUUAUUUAGGCCUAUGCCAUUCCAUCAGGGUAAAUAACUUUCUAACUAGUCAUUUAAGAGCAACUCCCGGGAAACUGUGAUGCAAUCCCACAUAUCAGCCAGACUUCAAAAGCUGCCAGAUUAUUGUGAAAGGAGAAACACUGUUUUCGAAGGCUGCUGAUAAUGCCUAUUAGCCAGAAGAAAGAGCCUGAAUCAUUCAAAGGUUUUCCAUCUAGUAAAGAAGUGUGGUAAAAAUCUUGCCCAGAUCUGCAUGUGCUAAGCAUCUACGUAAGUUGGAGCAUCAUAUUAAUGACACCCAGUGAAGAAACGAAAGAAUGAAGUGUAAUUACUAUAUCAAAAAUCCACAGAAUGUGAAAGUAUAAAGGAAAACUCUCAGUCACACACACAAAACAGGAAACCAGCAGUUGUAAUUUCUUCAGCAAUUCUUAAUGUAAGUUUUUAAUAGUUUAGUACUUUUCUUUCAUAAGUAUUGGACCAAGCUGUAA
RNAcentral lists this long non-coding RNA (739 nucleotides) under Homo sapiens (human). RNAcentral describes it as "non-protein coding lnc-S1PR1-2:3". The record is from RNAcentral. Lineage: Eukaryota; Metazoa; Chordata; Mammalia; Primates; Hominidae.